RNAcentral lists this small RNA (293 nucleotides) under Jaculus jaculus (lesser Egyptian jerboa). RNAcentral's name for it is "7SK RNA (ENSJJAG00000005449.1)". The record is from RNAcentral. Lineage: Eukaryota; Metazoa; Chordata; Mammalia; Rodentia; Dipodidae.
GGCUGGAGGCCCUGGAUCGCCCAUUCCCUCUCUCUAUCUGCCUCUUUCUCUCUGCCUGUUGCUCUCAAAUAAAUAAAUAAAUAAUUCAAAAAGAACAACAAAAAUUUUUUUUAACAAUGUUUGGUCAAAGAGGACAACCUUCUCCAAAUGGAGCAGGACUGGUCUCGGUCAAGAGUAUAGAGUACCUGCACUACCUUCCUAGAACCUCCAAACAAGCUCUCAAAUAAAUAAGUUGAGUAUGGCCAGGUGAGGUGGUGACACAUGCCUUUAAUUCCAGUACUGGGGAAGCCAAG